This 339-nucleotide ribosomal RNA is filed under the name uncultured myxomycete. RNAcentral's name for it is "partial small subunit ribosomal RNA". Lineage: Eukaryota; Evosea; Eumycetozoa. The record is from RNAcentral.
UCUGAAUCUUGCGAACGGCUCCGCAAACCUGCUGUAUACUAAAGCGUGGACGGUGUCCCCGGAGAGGCCGGCUUCGGUCGGUCGCCGGGGGCGUCUAGAUGGUCACCCGCGGUAAUUCUGAGGCUAAUACAUGCACACACUAACCCCUGCUGGGCGGCCUCGGCUGCCUGGCGGCGGGCGUGUGGUCGAUCAAACCGUGGUCAAUAAAACCGCGAUAGGACACACGCUCAAACCGCUUGUGUGGACCGGGCCUCGGCUCGGUUCCCGGCGGUGCGCGCGAUGUGCUCCAGACCUAUCAACUAGACGGCAGCGCACCGGACAUGCCACGGUGCAACGGUA